CUUGACUUGAUUCUUCUUAUAUACUUUCAUUUACUUUGUCAUUCAUUUUUACUUUCUUAUGCUCUAUACUCUAUUUGCUCCCUAUCCGGUGGAGUUGGGAAGGGGCACGAGGUACUACCACUAGCCUCCCUCUUGUGCCGUCCCUAAUAUGCCCUACACCGAAUAGUUGGGUCAAAUAGUGCCGGGUACUACCACUAGCCUCCCCAUUGGCACCAUCCCUAUGAUGAGCAAUAUAGAAAGGUUAAAAUGUUUACUUCAAAUUCUCCUUGUUUAAGUGUAAUUAAUUAUGGAUUUUAUUCCUUCCAAAUGUGCCGAAUAUAUUAUGCUUGUUUUGCUUUUCCUUAAGAUUGAAGU
RNAcentral lists this long non-coding RNA (354 nucleotides) under Phoenix dactylifera (date palm). Its description in RNAcentral is "long non-coding RNA (PDAC_LNC010710)". Lineage: Eukaryota; Viridiplantae; Streptophyta; Magnoliopsida; Arecales; Arecaceae. The record is from RNAcentral.